This is a long non-coding RNA of Beta vulgaris subsp. vulgaris (sugar beet), 474 nucleotides long. RefSeq lists it as uncharacterized. NCBI's taxonomy places the organism in Eukaryota, Viridiplantae, Streptophyta, Magnoliopsida, Caryophyllales, Amaranthaceae. The transcript is spliced from 3 exons. The record is from RefSeq and is a predicted model, not a curated record.
GAGCCCACACUCCCACUAGUUGAUACUGACUGUGCUGAGGCAGCAGUGCCCCAUGACCGGGUAGUUCCUUUGGGGUUCCUCUCUCCAUCUUCCUGAGAAUUUCCAGUUACCAUGCUGCUGUUUGUGCAAAGCAAGAAUUAGAUUGCAGAGGUCUCGUGGUGAUAGUCACUACUGCAAUGAUCGUCAACAGGAGUAGGAGCACACCAACAAGCCAUGGCGAGCGAGUGUUUUGAAUUUGGGUGAAGAAGUUCAACAUCAUAAACCAAUUCGUCCUCCUUCAAUGGUAACUACUCGCACUUCAAUCUUCAAACCACCUAAUCUCAUAUCAUUUUCUCGAGUGUGGCCGAAUUACAUAAUGUGGAUGAACCGAACAAACUAUAAUUAGGAGUCCCACUAUCUAGUGAUUAAGAACAUGAAGUCCCUUGAAAUUUCAUCUUCUUAACACAAAUCACAAAUAAUAGGUGUAUCAUUCUU